Small nucleolar RNA from Hibiscus syriacus, 126 nucleotides. Lineage: Eukaryota; Viridiplantae; Streptophyta; Magnoliopsida; Malvales; Malvaceae. The record is from RefSeq and is a predicted model, not a curated record.
ACCAAUUCUGGGGGAUGAUUAGUACCUCUUGGAAUAAUGGCUCAGACGCUAUGUUGAGAUGUGUGGUCAUCCUGAUUUUUGGCUUUUGUUUCGUGCCAUUUGAUCCUGGAAACGCCACAAAUAUUU